Molecule: ribosomal RNA, 379 nt
Filed under: Olea europaea subsp. europaea
Lineage: Eukaryota; Viridiplantae; Streptophyta; Magnoliopsida; Lamiales; Oleaceae
Description: SSU_rRNA_microsporidia
Rfam family: Eukaryotic small subunit ribosomal RNA
Source: RNAcentral
UGAUUGUUCUGCCAACUUGGAUGUGCCCCGGGGGGCUACUGAGAGCUCUUUCUAGAUUCUAUGGGUGGUGGUGCAUGACCAUUCUUAGCUGCUAAAGCGAUUUGUCUGAUUAAUUUCGUUAAUGAAUGAGACCUCAGUCUGCUAACUAGCUAUGCCAAGGUACCCCUUCGUGGCCAGCUUCUUAGAGGGACUACGGCUUUUUAGGCCAUGGAAGUUUGAGGCAAUAACAGGUCUGUGAUGCCCUUAGAUGUUCUGGGCCACAAGCACACUACAUUGAUGUAUUCAAUGAGUUUAUAGCCUUGGCCGACAGGUCCAGGUAAUCUUUGAAAUUUCAUCUUGAUGGGGAUAGAUCAUUGUAAUUGUUGGUCUUCAACGAGGA